AGAUUGAACGCUGGCGGCAUGCUUUACACAUGCAAGUCGAACGGUAACAGGCCGCAAGGUGCUGACGAGUGGCGAACGGGUGAGUAAUGUAUCGGAACGUGCCCAGUCGUGGGGGAUAACGCAGCGAAAGCUGCGCUAAUACCGCAUACGAUCUAUGGAUGAAAGCGGGGGACCGUAAGGCCUCGCGCGAUUGGAGCGGCCGAUAUCAGAUUAGGUAGUUGGUGGGGUAAAGGCUCACCAAGCCAACGAUCUGUAGCUGGUCUGAGAGGACGACCAGCCACACUGGGACUGAGACACGGCCCAGACUCCUACGGGAGGCAGCAGUGGGGAAUUUUUGGACAAUGGGCGCAAGCCUGAUCCAGCAAUGCCGCGUGCAGGAAGAAGGCCUUCGGUCGUAACUAGCUUUGUUACGGAACGAAACGGUACCGUCGGUUAAGUACCUGGGCGUAAUGACGGUACCGUAAGAAUAAGACACCGCUAACUACGUGCCAGCAGCCGA
RNAcentral lists this ribosomal RNA (499 nucleotides) under uncultured soil bacterium. RNAcentral's name for it is "bacterial SSU rRNA". It matches the Rfam family "Bacterial small subunit ribosomal RNA", at positions 26 to 518 of the family's 1533-position model. The record is from RNAcentral.